This 76-nucleotide transfer RNA is filed under the name Clostridia bacterium. Its description in RNAcentral is "tRNA-Thr". It matches the Rfam family "tRNA". Rfam says of the family: Transfer RNA (tRNA) molecules are approximately 80 nucleotides in length. Their secondary structure includes four short double-helical elements and three loops (D, anti-codon, and T loops). Further hydrogen bonds mediate the characteristic L-shaped molecular structure. tRNAs have two regions of fundamental functional importance: the anti-codon, which is responsible for specific mRNA codon recognition, and the 3' end, to which the tRNAs corresponding amino acid is attached (by aminoacyl-tRNA synthetases). tRNAs cope with the degeneracy of the genetic code in two manners: having more than one tRNA (with a specific anti-codon) for a particular amino acid; and 'wobble' base-pairing, i.e. permitting non-standard base-pairing at the 3rd anti-codon position. The record is from RNAcentral. Lineage: Bacteria; Bacillati; Bacillota; Clostridia.
GCUACUGUAGCACAGUCGGUAGUGCAGCUGAUUCGUAAUCAGCAGGUCGCGUGUUCGAUCCACGUCAGUAGCUCCA